This 253-nucleotide ribosomal RNA is filed under the name uncultured bacterium. RNAcentral's name for it is "partial 16S ribosomal RNA". It matches the Rfam family "Bacterial small subunit ribosomal RNA", at positions 524 to 776 of the family's 1533-position model. The record is from RNAcentral.
UACAGAGGUCUCAAGCGUUGUUCGGAUUCAUUGGGCGUAAAGGGUGCGCAGGUGGCGCGGCAAGUCGGAUGUGAAAUCCCGGGGCUCAACCCCGGAACUGCAUUCGAUACUGCCGUGCUAGAGUGCUGGAGAGGAGAUUGGAAUUUACGGUGUAGCAGUGAAAUGCGUAGAUAUCGUAAGGAAGACCAGUGGCGAAGGCGGAUCUCUGGACAGUUACUGACACUGAGGCACGAAGUCCAGGGGAGCAAACGGG